RNAcentral lists this ribosomal RNA (1479 nucleotides) under uncultured Bordetella sp. RNAcentral describes it as "partial 16S-23S ribosomal RNA intergenic spacer". It matches the Rfam family "Bacterial small subunit ribosomal RNA". The record is from RNAcentral. Lineage: Bacteria; Pseudomonadati; Pseudomonadota; Betaproteobacteria; Burkholderiales; Alcaligenaceae.
GCAGAGAGUUCGAUCUGGCUCGGAUUGAACGCUGGCGGGAUGCUUUACAUGCAAGUCGAACGGCACGGACUCGGUCUGGUGGCGAGUGGCGAACGGGUGAGUGUGUAUCGGAACGUGCCUAGUGGCAGGGAUAUUACGCGAAAACACUUCAGCCACGCAUACGCCCUUCGGGGAAAGCGGGGGACCUUCCGGGCCUCGCACUAUUAGAGCGUGAUAUGGAUUAGCUAGUUGGUGGGGUAACGGCUCGCAAGGCGACGAUCCGUAGCUGGUUUGAGAGGACGACCAGCCACACUGGGACUGAGACCUGGCCCCAGACUCUACGGAAGGCAGCAGUGAAAUUUUUGGUUCAAUGGGGAAACACGAUCCAGCCAUCCCGCACGUGCGAUGAAGGCCUUUAGCCUUCCGGGUUGUAAAAACACCUUUUGGCAGGAAAGAAACGGCGCAGGAUAAUACCCGAUGCAACUGACCAGUACCUGCAGAAUGCUUCCAGCUAACUACGCGCCAGCAGCCGCGGUAAUACGUAGGGUGCAAGCGUUAAUCGAGAAUUACUGGGCGUAAAGCGUGCGCGAGCCGGUUCGGAAGAAAGAUGUGAAAUCCCAGGCUUAACUUUGGAACUGCAUUUUUAACUACCGAGCUGAGAGUGUGUCAGAGGAGGUGGAAUUCCGCGUGUAGCAGUGAAAUGCGUAGAUAUGCGGAGGAACACCGAUGGCGAAGGCAGCCUCCUGGGAUAACACUGACGCUCAUGCACGAAAGCGUGGGAGCAAACAGGAUUAGAUACCCUGGUAGUCCACGCCCUAAACGAUGUCAACUAGCUGUUGGGGCCUUCGGGCUUGGUAGCGCAGCUAACGUGAAGUUGACCGCCUGGGGAGGUACGGUCGCAAGAUUAAAACUCAAGGAAUUGACGGGGACCCGCACAAGCGGUGGAUGAUGUGGACAUGGAUUAAUUCGAUGCAACGCGAAAACCUUACCUACCCUUGACAUGUCUGGAAUCCCGAGAUUUGGGAGUGCUCGCAAAGAGAACCGGAACACAGUGCACAUGGCUGUCGUCCCAGCUCGUGUCGUGAGAUGUUGGGUUAAGUCCCGCAACGAGCGCAACCCUUGUCAUUAGUUGCUACGAAAGGGCACUCGUAGGACUGUCGGUGACAAACCGGAGGAAGGUGGGGAUGACGUCAAGUCCUCAUGGCCCUUAUGGGUGAGGGCUUCACACGUCAUACAAUGGUCGGGACAGAGGGUCGCCAACCCGCGAGAGGCCAAUCCCAGAAACCCGAUCGUAGUCCGGAUCGCAGUCUGCAACUCGACUGCGUGAAGUCGGAAUCGCUAGUAAUCGCGGAUCAGCAUGUCGCGGUGAAUACGUUCCCGGGUCUUGUACACCGCCGUCACACCGUAGAAUUGGGUUUUACCAGAAGUAGUUAGCCUAACCGUAAGGAGGGCGAUUACCACGGUAGGAUUCAUGACUGGGGUGAAGUCGUAACAAGGUAG